UAGGGAAUUUUUCACAAUGGGCGAAAGCCUUAUGAAGCAAUGCCGCGUGAACGAUGAAGGUCUUAUAGAUUGUAAAGUUCUUUUAUAUGGGAAGAAACGCUAAGAUAGGAAAUGAUUUUAGUUUGACUGUACCAUUUGAAUAAGUAUCGGCUAACUAUGUGCCAGCAGCCGCGGUAAUACAUAGGAUGCAAGCGUUAUCCGGAUUUACUGGGCGUAAAACGAGCGCAGGCGGGUUUGUAAGUUUGGUAUUAAAUCUAGAUGCUUAACGUCUAGCUGUAUCAAAAACUGUAAACCUAGAGUGUAGUAGGGAGUUGGGGAACUCCAUGUGGAGCGGUAAAAUGCGUAGAUAUAUGGAAGAACACCGGUGGCGAAGGCGCCAACUUGGACUAUCACUGACGCUUAGGCUCGAAAGCAUGGGUAGCGAACAGG
RNAcentral lists this ribosomal RNA (429 nucleotides) under uncultured Ureaplasma sp. RNAcentral's name for it is "bacterial SSU rRNA". It matches the Rfam family "Bacterial small subunit ribosomal RNA", at positions 355 to 776 of the family's 1533-position model. Lineage: Bacteria; Bacillati; Mycoplasmatota; Mycoplasmoidales; Mycoplasmoidaceae. The record is from RNAcentral.